GAGCCCCGUCAGUCCCG
This 17-nucleotide transfer RNA is filed under the name Panax ginseng (ginseng). RNAcentral's name for it is "partial tRNA-Asp". Lineage: Eukaryota; Viridiplantae; Streptophyta; Magnoliopsida; Apiales; Araliaceae. RNAcentral also lists the same sequence under 7 other names. The record is from RNAcentral.